Trichosurus vulpecula (common brushtail) is the source of this 110-nucleotide small nuclear RNA. Lineage: Eukaryota; Metazoa; Chordata; Mammalia; Diprotodontia; Phalangeridae. The record is from RefSeq and is a predicted model, not a curated record.
CUGUCAUUCACAGCAGCGGCACAUACACUAAAAUUAGAACAACUUAACAAAGAUUAGCUUGGCCCUCGAUCAAGGAUGACAUAUAUAUUCUUGACACAUCUCAUAUUUUU